RNAcentral lists this unclassified non-coding RNA (446 nucleotides) under Hevea brasiliensis (rubber tree). The record is from RNAcentral. Lineage: Eukaryota; Viridiplantae; Streptophyta; Magnoliopsida; Malpighiales; Euphorbiaceae.
GUCAAAAACUGUAGGGCCUCCAACAUAACUGAAACACCUAAUUAUAAAAAUAAAAAGAUAAUUGUAAUGAUGGUACCUAUUGUAACAUAUUAACCCACAAUUUUCUCUAGUCUAUCAACAAGAAAAAGUUAAGCUAAGAAUAAAAAUCCCAAGCUUGUCGUACACCUACUCAUAAGCAUAGUAAGGGCCACCAGUUAAUCAUAAGAGGGAAGAAGGAAAAGCUUGUACCUCAAUGUGAAGCUCUAGAGCAAGGAUGGAGGUCACCAUUUGUUAAGAGUUGGGUGAGGAGGCUUCUACCUAUUAAAAGUUCAAUGACAAUGUCUAAUACUUGGGGCCAACUGCAUAAUUCCAUGAACUUUCUGAUUGCAUGAGAUGAAGCAACACUUGCUCGUUCGUUUUGAGGUCAAUUUACAUGGAAACAGAUGGAUCCCAUCAACAAAAAAAAA